RNAcentral lists this ribosomal RNA (440 nucleotides) under uncultured bacterium. RNAcentral's name for it is "partial 16S ribosomal RNA". It matches the Rfam family "Bacterial small subunit ribosomal RNA", at positions 338 to 795 of the family's 1533-position model. The record is from RNAcentral.
CCUACGGGUGGCAGCAGUGGGGAAUAUUGCACAAUGGGGGAAACCCUGAUGCAGCGACGCCGCGUGAGUGAAGAAGUAUUUCGGUAUGUAAAGCUCUAUCAGCAGGGAAGAAAAUGACGGUACCUGAUUAAGAAGCCCCGGCUAACUACGUGCCAGCAGCCGCGGUAAUACGUAGGGGGCAAGCGUUAUCCGGAUUUACUGGGUGUAAAGGGGGCGUAGACGGCAGCACAAGUCAGGAGUGAAAUGCCGGGGCUUAACCCCGGGACUGCUUUGGAAACUGUGCAGCUAGAGUGCAGGAGAGGUAAGUGGAAUUCCGAGUGUAGCGGUGAAAUGCGUAGAUAUUAGGAGGAACACCAGUGGCGAAGGCGGAUUACUGGACUGUAACUGACGUUGAGGCUCGAAAGCGUGGGGAGCAAACAGGAUUAGAUACCCGGGUAGUC